GCAACGUUGUUUUCAACUUGUCUUUAUCUCCAUCCCUACCAUAAAGACAAAAUUCAUGCUCAACCAAGAAUGUUGUAGGAGUUCUUUGAGAAAUUUUCCCCUUAACACCUCCUAUAAGACCAAGGAGAUUAAUUUGUUUUGCUAGGUGUCUAACCUUUGGAAUAACUCUUGUAUCCUACCAUUCAUGCCUUGAUAAAAAGGAUUAAGAGAGGUAGAUAAGAAGUUCCACACCUGGGUUUUCUUAGUUUGAUAUUCAGCUUCCACCUUGGAGCUCAAAGCUUCAGCAUCAAUCUCAUUGAGUAGAUCUUCCGCAUCAAAGACAGCAUGUUUGAGCUCAUUGAGCCAGCUUCCCACAACAGGGUUGACAAUCUGCUUCUCCUCUGCAUCAUUGAGCACUGCAUGAAGGGUUAACUGACACGCCCCGUUCCCGAUAUUUCCCCGAAUACCAGGAUAGGCACGUGCUGGCCGACACCAGAGGGUGACGAAAGCCAUUUAUUGAGUGCAAAUGCCGAAAACAAUGAAUAAUGAAUAUGCAUUUAAGGAACGUGUUCAGAGCACACAUCUAAUCUAGAACAUAAAAGAAUUAAUGUAAAAAUUUAAUGAACACAGAAGUGGGUCCUACACCGAGAGGACUCGAAGAUACCGAUGCGGAAGUGCCUGGAUGCCGGGAUUGUACGCCUCGAUUCUAAGUCCUGAAGGGGGCGCAAAACAAACAUGAGUGGACCAAUUUGAUAUAAAUAUAAUAAAACAGUUAUCAACGUACUAACCCCCAGGUUUAUGAAAACAUAUAUAUAAUGAUAAACAUAGGUUUUCCGAAUUCUAGCAUGAUGCAGUAUCUCAAAUCAUAACUCAUAUAUAUAAUAAUCACUAGUGAAUUGUCCGAUAACCUGCAGGCCCCAUGCCGGCUCCCCGUCUUUGAGCAGACAGUCAGAGGAAAAUACACUUCAGGCCCCAUGCCGGCUCCCCGUCCCUGUGCUAAAUAGCCAGAGGGAAACAACUCCAGGCCCUAUGCCAACACCAAACCGUCGCCCGGGACGGACCGGAAUCUAUCCCCGAACCCUAUCCCGUAGCGAAAGGACCACUAGGUAAAUACAGUACAAAACCAUUGAAAAACAUACAUAUAUGAAAAAAACUUCAUAGUAUAAAGUCAUCCAUCAUCUAUACUAUAAAGAGGUGUUCGAAACAUGUUCUAAAUAUCAUAUCGUCAUCCAUCAGAUAUUCUAUAAGAACACGGGGGUUAUAGGAAAAAAUAGUAAAUAAUAAUAAUUCAAGGUAGUAGCCUCAGUAAGCAUGUUAUCUCACAAAACGUUUCAUAAAACGUAAAUAAUCAUUAAAUCAUGCAUUUCAUGUAUGCAUUUCUACUAUUAUUAAACAUGCUUUUGAAGGGGUCCACUCACAGUACUUAGCCGCCGAAGAGCCACGCAAACUAACGUCACCAAUAUUGCCCCUAAGCACAUAAAGGGUCCAAUUAAUAAAACUAUAUAAUAGCAAUUGGAUUUGGGAAAACGGACGUUGGAAACGGAUUCAGAACGUCGAAUUACCCUAAGAAGGGUCCCGGACGAAAACCCGAAAAGUCAACUCUAAAGUCAAUGUUGACCGGAGGUCAACGGUCAAAUUAGGUCUAACAGGUUUUAGGCUUGAAAUCCGGAUUAGGGUUUAGGUUAAAUAGGAUUAGGAUUUAUUGGGUUUUGGUUUUAGGGUUCUAAGAUUAAAAGGGUUUGGGUUAUAAAGGGUUUAGGGUGAAAAUGGGUAGUUUGGGCUUAAACCCCAAACACACACACACACCACAAACAAACACACACACACACACGGGCUGCACACACACAGCCCAUACACACACGGCCCAAAGGCCUAAUAACCAAAAGGGUUGGGUUUUGGGUUCUAAAGGGAAUGGGUUUUUAAAAGAAAAAGGGCUUAGGGCCCUGACUUGGAAAGCCCAAGGGCUUAAAAGCCUAGGGUUUUCUGGGUUGCUGCUCACGGGCCGAAGGCCCUGUUCCAAAUUGGCCCAAGGGGGAAAGGAAAGGCCGGAUGGCCUGGGUUUGUUGAAAGAGAAGGCCGGAAAUUCGGCCGGAAAACCACCUAACUUUAAACGGCCAUAACUUUGUCAAUACUCAACGAAAUCAAGCAAGACAAAAAUGAAAGUUGUAGCCCUUGAAGAGACGAAGAGAAUGGUACCUCACACGACGUCUAACUCGCCGUGGUUUGGCCGGAAAACGCCUCGAAAUCCGUCGGACUCGCCGGAAACUGGGUAAGAUUCAAAUGAGUAUAACUUCUUCAAUACUCAACGAAAUUAAGUGAAACAAAAAGGAAAGUUAUACUACUCGACGAGACGAAGAGAUUGAUACCUUGCACGCCGGCCAACUCGUCGUGGUUUGGCCGGAAAUGGCCUCGAAAGGGGGCGGUGCCUCGCCGGAGCUUACUCCGUGCCGUCGAACUCGCAGGGCAGGGUCCGGGGUUCGUUGCGAGCCUCUCUUCGAUGGUGACUCGGUCCUAGUGAGUCCAGGGGAAGAGAGAGAUGCGAGAGGUUGAGGGAGAGAGAGACAGGAGAGCUGAGAAGGAGAGAGCUACGGGAGGGAGAAACGAAGAAGAAGAAGAGAGAGAUCAGAACACAUAAAAAAAAUAAACAAGGUGGGCCCCACGGGCUCACCAAUUAAGGCUUUAAAACAAUUUUAAAAUAUAAAGGAGGGUUGGGGUGUUUCAAUCUACCACCCUUAUAAAAAAAUUUCGUCCUCGAAAUUUAAAACAACUUACUACACCGAAAAUACUUGAAAAUAGGAAGAAGAAUAAUAUAUAUAUAUAUGUAACGAAGAGAUCAGGUAAGAGCGGUUUCACAAAAGAGAAAAUGCCACGCCGUCGCGAUCGGCUGCAAUGAUUCCAUCUUUCGUGCCUCCAGGCUCAAACUUUUUUUUUUUUCCAUCAGUGUAAAAAUAGAACACAUACUUUAAUAAAAUAUAAAGUUGAAAACACAAAAUAGCUUAAGGCCAGAUAACGUCAAAAUAGAUAUGUACUAACAUAUAGUUCACAAACUCGAAUCAACUUAAAAAUAAAAACAGAAAUACUUUUCCAAAAACAUUUGUAACGUCAAAACAAUUAACUAGAGUAAAUGAAGUUAAAAUACUUAUACUGAAAACCAAAACUGAAAAAUGAGAGUGGGUCUCGCCCAAGAAUUCGAAAUGUCAUAUAUUCUGAGAAUAGAUGUGCCUUUAGGUCGAGUCCCAAGAAAUAAAAAUUCUGAAUCUGCAUCAGCUGCUGUAGACGAAUCUUCUUGCCCACUUGCUUAACGAACCCACCAAAUAAGCUAUCGAUAUCACAGUCUGCAGCCCGCAAUAUCGACCUCACAUUUGUUGUCUCGAUAGGCAAGUAGUAAUUUCUCAAAUGGUGUACAAUUUCACAUAUCGUAGGAUCGAUCCUCCAAAUACAAGUUCGCAAGACUUUUCAGUCAACCAGUGUUUUCCAUGAAAAACUAUCGUACCAGGUCGUAAAAAGUACCAUACACCAAACCGAACAAAACAGAAACUGUCGUCAUAAAACUCUAUCCAGCACCAAGCAUCAUAUCCUUCUCAGUUCUUCCAAAUGUGACCAACUACUUCAGAAUUUCACCAGUAAAGAACCCAUUUGAAAAUUGUACCUUGGGAUUCAAGAGAAGUGGCUACCAUGUUAGUAGUAGACCCAAAAGCUCAAAUCAAGCAAGCAGAAAACGAGAAGUCAUCUUCCUCAACACGCAGUAUCUCUUACGAACUGUUGUAGUGCUCAAUCCACCUCUCCAUUUUUGCUUAGUUGCAGAUUUCAAGUCAAACAAGAUCAAAAUUGGUGGAAAGAAGAACGACUCGCAAAUGGUCAUCCUAACAACCAAAGACCACACGCACAUUUCGAGAGAAGUGUAAAGAUUAUCCAAUUCUCGCUUCGACCGUCCUGUAGUGCCAUCUCAGAAUGCACCAAACAGAUCUGCUAGAAAUGUUUUAACAACCACGUACUCACAAUAAUAAGGUUCAGAAGUGGAGCAAUGGAAAUGUGCGUUGAGGCGAACACAUAUAGUUGGAAAAUAACCGAUGUGAUGCCUAUGAAUUCUAGUAAGAUGGUGAUACAAUAUGCUGACCUUCUGCACCAAAAUCUUCACCAGUCUCUUACCAAAAUACAGCUUAAACCUCAUACCCACAUGGAAUUCUUUAUGGUAAGUCUGGUAAGCUUGUGAAAAGAUUAUGCUCCCAACAUUCAUGUCCGAAUCAACACGAACUGGGUGCCCACUUUCACCGAAACGAUCGAUUGUGAAUUUCUCACUGGUUAGGCGAGAAACCAUGUCGAGAAGGCUAAAAUAAUACUCAAGAAUUUGAGGAUCAAAACAAGUCCAUAAAAAGAUAGAUUACAAGAAAUCAGGAUUUGAACUAGAAACCACGCCAAGAACAAGCUCAUAUUGUUCUGGCAUGAUUCAAUUUUAUAUUGAGAAACCAACAAGCGAAGGAAGAUAAAGAUGCAGAAAUAGAGUCAUUGUUUCUGAUUAUUUUGCAAAUCAUCACAGUAUGGUCAACUGGUUCUUAGCCAAAAGGAAAUAGGUCUAAGCUCAAGGAUAGUUAAUAACUGAUAAUAAGAUUUAACGAGGUCAAAACAUUACGAGAUUCACAAUACUUUGUGAGAGUUGUUUCAAAGUUCAGAAAUUAAACAUAGAAUCUCUGAAUCAGCAGAAUGACGAAGAAGAAAGAUACAAAGCAACCUGCGUAUGCAUGCAGUGACACGAUUGGCUACCUUAAAGUGAUGCUCUUGAGCAAACCAAAGCUCAAUGAGUCCAGAGAAGUUUAGAGUAAAGUUCGAUCUUCGUACAAUGAUAAACAUGGUAGAGUCUCAAGCCAUUACAAUGAAAAUUACAAGACUGAACAUUUAGGCUGCAAGCAAUAGACUAAGUUCACCUUCGCCAAAAAGUACGCAGACGAGGAAAUAGGGUUUGCCACCAGGUACCCAACCCAGGUGAAAUUCAAGGAAUCUGUUUAUCCAAACAAAACUGGAUAUUCAUCAUCCAAAUCCAACUACAACAACAACAAGAAUUGCAACUCAAUUUGAAAAUUAAUGAGAAUAACGUCUGCUACUGAGGAGUUUCUCAAGAUUUCAAUGUAGAGCCGACUCCGCCCGCAAUUCCUAGGGAACGCAUGUUGCAGAGUGGCAUCGCCAUUUCAAAUCUACAGCUGGUUUUAACCAGAAUUCCUCAAAUUGAGAUUUCUAAAACACGUCGCUGAGUAUCGAUCCGAUGCUGAAAGUCGUCCAACGAUUCAAACACGUCACCGAUGAGGCACAAUCCCGACACGAAUUCUUGAAUUUCAACAAGAAGGUGACAAUUCAAUCAGAGAGAGAUUCACACAACUGCACCGACUGGCACAAAAUCCGGAAGUCGUGACAUCCAAAUGAUGUCAAAACCAACACUUUAAGAGAAUAGAAAAGAACCCUAAGUAUGCUCUGAACAAACCACGCUCUGAAACCAAUCUGACACGCCCCGAUCCCGAUAUUUCCCCGAAUACCAGGAUAGGCACGUGCUGGCCGACACCAGAGGGUGACGAAAGCCAUUUAUUGAGUGCAAAUGCCGAACAAUGAAUAAUGAAUAUGCAUUUAAGGAACGUGUUCAGAGCACACAUCUAAUCUAGAACAUUAAAAGAAUUAAUGUAAAAAUUUAAUGAACACAGAAGUGGGUCCUACACCGAGAGGACUCGAAGAUACCGAUGCGGAAGUGCCUGGAUGCCGGGAUUGUACGCCUCGAUUCUAAGUCCUGAAGGGGGCGCAAAACAAACAUGAGUGGACCAAUUUGAUAUAAAUAUAAUAAAACAGUUAUCAACGUACUAACCCCCAGGUUUAUGAAACAUAUAUAUAAUGAUAAACAUAGGUUUUCCGAAUUCUAGCAUGAUGUGCAGUAUCUCAAAUCAUAACUCAUAUAUAAUAAUCACUAGUGAAUUGUCCGAUAACCUGCAGGCCCCAUGCCGGCUCCCCGUCUUUGAGCAGACAGUCAGAGGAAAAUACACUUCAGGCCCCAUGCCGGCUCCCCGUCCCUGUGCUAAAUAGCCAGAGGAAACACACUCCAGGCCCUAUGCCAACACCAAACCGUCGCCCGGGACGGACCGGAAUCUAUCCCUACGUCCCGUAGCGGAAAGGACCACUAGGUAAGUACAAAACCAUUGAACAUACAUAUAUUGAAAAACAACUUCAUAGUAUAAAGUCAUCCAUCAUCUAUACUAUAAAGAGGUGUUCGAAACAUGUUCUAAAUAUCAUAUCGUCAUCCAUCAGAUAUUCUAUAAGAACACGGGUUAUAGGAAAAAUAGUAAUAAUUCAAGGUAGCCUCAGUAAGCAUGUUAUCUCACAAAACGUUUCAUAAAACGUAAUCAUUAAAUCAUGCAUUUCAUGUAUGCAUUUCUACUAUUAAAACAUGCUUUUGAAGGGGUCCACUCACAGUACUUAGCCGCCGAAGAGCCACGCAAACUAACGUCACCAAUAUUGCCCCUAAGCACAUAAAGGGUCCAAUUAAUAAAACUAUAUAAUAGCAAUUGGAUUUGGGGAAAACGGACGUUGGAAACGGAUUCAGAACGUUGAAUUACCCUAAGAAGGGUCCCGGACGAAAACCCGAAAAGUCAACUCUAAAGUCAAUGUUGACCGGAGGUCAACGGUCAAAUUAGGUCUAACGGGUUUUAGGCUUGAAAUCCGGAUUAGGGUUUAGGUUAAAUAGGAUUAGGAUUUAUUGGGUUUUGGUUUUAGGGUUCUAAGAUUAAAAGGGUUUGGGUUAUAAAGGGUUUAGGGUGAAAAUGGGUAGUUUGGGCUUAAACCCCAAACACACACACACACCACAAACAAACACACACACACACCGGGCUGCACACACACAGCCCAUACACACACGGCCCAAAGGCCUAAUAACCAAAAGGGUUGGGUUUUGGGUUCUAAAGGGAAUGGGUUUUUAAAAGAAAAAGGGCUUAGGGCCCUGACUUGGAAAGCCCAAGGGCUUAAAAGCCUAGGGUUUUCUGGGUUGCUGCUCACGGGCCGAAUGCCCUGUUCCAAAUUGGCCCAAGGGGGAAGGGAAAGGCCGGAUGGCCUGGGUUUGUUGAAAGAGAAGGCCGGAAAUUCGGCCGGAAAACCACCUAACUUUAAACGGCCAUAACUUUGUCAAUACUCAACGAAAUCAAGCAAGACAAAAAUGAAAGUUGUAGCCCUUGAAGAGACGAAGAGAAUGGUACCUCACACGACGUCUAACUCGCCGUGGUUGGGUCGGAAAACGCCUCGAAAUCCGUCGGACUCGCCGGAAACUGGGUAAGAUUCAAAUGAGUAUAACUUCUUCAAUACUCAACGAAAUUAAGUGAAACAAAAAGGAAAGUUAUACUACUCGACGAGACGAAGAGAUUGAUACCUUGCACGCCGGCCAACUCGUCGUGGUUUGGCCGGAAAUGGCCUCGAAAGGGGCGGUGCUCGCCGGAGCUUACUCCGUGCCGUCGAACUCGCAGGGCAGGGUCCGGGGUUCGUUGCGAGCCUCUCUUCGAUGGUGACUCGGUCCUAGUGAGUCCAGGGGAAGAGAGAGAUGCGAGAGGUUGAGGGAGAGAGAGACAGGAGAGCUGAGAAGGAGAGAGCUACGGGAGGGAGAAACGAAGAAGAAGAAGAGAGAGAUCAGAACACAUAAAAAAAAUAAACAAGGUGGGCCCCACGGGCUCACCAAUUAAGGCUUUAAAACAAUUUUAAAAUAUAAAAGAGGGUUGGGGUGUUUCAUUAACAACGUCAGCUUCAACUUCUCCAUGAGCGAACAAUCAAGCUUUUUCCCCCGAAACAGAUCCAAGAACUCGCCGGAACCAAUCUUAUCGCACAUCACGUGGAUGGAAGCAGAGAGAAAAGCCUCUCCAAUCAAAGCUCCUGCCAUUUCACCUCUCUAUCUCUGUUUUUCUUUUUUCUUCGAAAAAUUGUUAGAGGUGAGGAAGAAUAAGAGACUUAUAGGAUUUAUUGUUUUGGAAAGAGACGACUUGAUAAAUAAAUGGCAUUAUCACAACUUAGGGGUGGUGAGCAAUCCCGUUAAAAUAGAACUUAAUAUAUACAUAUUAAAAACAAAAACAAAUUGAUGCAAAAUCUCCCAACGACUAAUACUAUUUCAAUUCAUGCAUGAAACAGACACAUUUGUCCUUUCAUGCUACUUGGUUAUAAGCAAACAUCAUGCAUUUAUUAAUACUAUUCCAAGUCAUGCAUGAAACCUACACAUUUGUCCGUUCAUGCCACUUGGUUAUAAGCAAACAUCAUGCACAAGUUGUUUACUAAUUAGCAUUACUACUAUUAGCAUGUAUCAUGACCGUUUUCUUUCUGUUAUUCAUAAGCCCAAGACAUUGUAAGAAAUAAUGUUGAUUAUUCAAAACGAAUCAACAACUAGUUGCAGUGAUACUUCCAACUUGAUAAAGAAAGGGAAAAAAAGGAAGUCGACUUCCAAACUAAAAUAAAAUGUAUAUAAAUAUAGAAAAUUGUUAUUAGCUGAAACACCCCAACCCCUUUUAUAUUUUAAAAAAUUGUUUUAAAGCCUUAAUUGGUGAGCCCGUGGGGCCCACCUUAUGAUUUUUUUUGGUUUUUCCCCGGUCUCUCUCCUCUUUCAGCUCUCUUUUCUACCUCACUCUCCCGUUUCUCUCUCUCGGACCUCAUCUCUCUCCCUCGCUGCAACUCUUUUCCCCGAUCAACACUCAGCCACGCCAUCUGCUGAGAACUCACCAUCUAAACCUCGUCCCUUUCCUCUUCCUCUUGCAUCUGCGCAACUUGGCGAAACCAAGAAAAUAACCUCCGGCGAGUCUGACGGCUUUCGAGGCCAUUUCCGGCCAAACCACGGCGAGUCGGCCGGCGUGCAAGGUAUCAAUCUCUUCGUCUUGUCGAGUACUAUAAUUUUCCUUUUCGUUUCACUCAAUUUCAUUGCGUAUUGAAGAAGUUAUACUCAUUUGGAUCUUACCCAGUUUCCGGAGACCUCCGAGGCUUUCGAGGCAAUUUCCGGCCAAACCACGGCGAGUUAGACGUCGUGUGAGGUAUCAUUCUCUUCGUCUCUUCUAGGGCUAUAACUUUCGUUUUUGUCUCGCUUGAUUUCGUUGAGUAGUGACAACGUUAUGGCCGUUUAAAGUGGGGUGGUUUUCCGGCCGAAUUUCCGGCCUUCUUCUUCGGCAAACUAGGCCCUUCAGGCCGUUUCUCAACCCACGGGCCUUAAGCCCGUAUUGCAUAAGCCCAAAGCCCUAGCCCAAUCCUUUUAAUUGUUUUUAUUUAUUUGUUAUUGGUUUAGGACCCAAAAGGCCUUCGGGCCAUUAGAUUUAGGGCCCGCAGCCCAUUAGUCCAACCCAAAAACCUUUUGAGGUUUUUAUUUAUUUCCUGUUUUAGAAUUAAGGCCUUGGGCCAAUUUGAAUGGGCUUUCAGCCCUUUCCCAAACCCUUUUAACUUAAGGGCCUUAAGCACUAAACCCUUUAACCUUAGGACCCUAAACCCAAAAAUCCUAGGUUCCUAAAAUCCUUUAAAACCCUAAACCCAUCCAAUCCCAAAUCCCCUAUUUUUAUUUAAACUCUAAACCCUAAUCCGGGUUCAAGCCUAAAACCCGUUUGACCUAGUUUGACCGUUGACCCCCGGUCAACGUUGACUUUAGGGUUGACUUUUCGGGUUUUCGUCCGGGACCCUUCUUAGGGUAAUUCGACGUUCUGGAUCCCUUUCCUGUCCGUUUUCCCAAAUUCAAUUGCUAUUAUAUAGUUUUAUUUAUUGGACUCUUUAUGUGCUUAGGGGGCAAUUAUUGUGACGUUUCCGUCUUCGCUAGUGGCGCAGCUUUUGGCAACUAAGUACUGUGAGUGGACCCCUUCUAAAAUUACAUGAUUUGAUAAUUUAAUUGCAUAAAUGAUUAGCAUGCCUACGGAUUUAUGAUUUGAUUUAUGUGAAGCCUGAUGAUUUAAAUAUAUUGAUUAUCGUCUCGUGUUUUGGUGAGGAAUUAAUUGUUAGCCUAUACUGAGCUAUAUUUCAAUAUAUCGUAUUUUCUAUAAAAACCAUGAACUGGUAGACUAUCUGACAGAUGACGAUAGGAUGCUAGAACAUGUUUUUGAACCCCUCUUUAUAGCGUAGACGAUAUUCGGUAACCUAUGCUAUGAAGUGGUUAUUUAAGAGAGACGUAACUAUUUGUGCGUACCUAGUGGACACUAUGCCGCCUGGGGCGAGGAUCUGGUGUUGGCAUGUAGGCCGGGAGAAAUAAUCCCUAGCGAAAGGCUGAGGGACACGGAGACAGGCAUUGGGCCGGGAGGGAGUUAUCUCUGGCUACGGGCACAGAGACUGAGGUGCAGGCAUUGGGCCGGGAGUUAUAUUUAUUCAGUGAUUUUUCUAGCAGCACACCGCGCUUACGAGACGAUUUACGAGACGUUUACUGUUUUGUUUUUCCGCAAUGUUAUUCCGCGAUAUGGCUUUUUGAGAUACUUUGGCAUGCUAGGAUUUUAUUAAAUCCAUCACUUAUUAUGCUAGUAGUUUUCAUUUAUAUAAACUUUGGGGGUUAGUAUCUUGAUAACUGUUUUAUUAUUAUUGUAUAUAUAAACUUGGUCCACUCACCUUUGUUUUGCGCCCCCAUUCAGGACUUAGAAUCAAGGCACCUAAUCCCGGCGUCAAGACACUUCUGCAGCAGCAUAUUCGGAUCCUCUCGAAUGUAGGACUCACUCCUUUAUUCAUUAAAUUUUAUCCUAAUUCUUCGUAGUGAUUAGGUUUAGUUGUAUGCUCUGAGCACGUUCCUAAACUGUUAAUUCAUUGUAUUUCAAAUUUCUAACCUUUAUUUAUUUCUUAUUCUUAGCUUUUGUAUCAAUUAAUGGCUUUCGUCACCUCCGGGUGUCGGCCAGCACGUGUCGGUCUUGGUAUUCGGGGAAUAUCAGGGUCGGGACGUGUCAUUAGCACUCCAAAAAUCUCAUUUGGCACUCCAAACUUUCUAUAAUUAGAAAGAAAAUUACACUUGUGCGAAUGUAGAAUAAGAUUUUUGGAGCGCUAAUAACAGUUCCCUAAAUAUGUCUUAACAAAUAUUGUACAUGGCAUUGACUUAGACUUUCGCAAAUAGACUUAUAAUUUUUGGUAUCUAAUAAAUAUCUAGAUUGAAAAUAGAUAUUUAUGAAUUUAAUCAUUAAAAUGCAUAAGCUCAAUUAUACAUUCAAGUUAGAUCAAUUCCUGAAGUUUUGGUCAACAAUAAAACUGUUUACCUAUGAGUUCACUUAUAAAACGUGCAAAGACGAUAUACUUUUUAACCACAGUUCUAUGUAUUGUGAAUAUUUGUCCGCAACUUUUGUGGCAUAUAGAGGCUAAAAGAUACUACGAUAUUAAAUCCAUAUAUGGUCGAAAUAUUUAUCAGUUUAAUCAUUAAAAUGCAUAAACUCAAUUACACAUCCAGGUUAGAUCAAUUCCCGAAGUUUUGCUCCACAAUAAAAACUGCUUAGCUAUGAGUUCGCCUAUAAAACAUACAAAGGCAAUAUACUUUUUAGCCACAGUUCAAUGUAAUGUGAAUUGUUGUUUGCAAAUUUUGUAUCUAAUAAAUAUCCACGGUUAAAAAUAUUCAUUGAUCUACCAAAAGUUAUCAUGGACGUACCUAUUUUUCUACCACAUAUAGGAAUAUAGAGGCUAGAAGAUUCUCAUUUAAUUGAAACAUACCAAACUCAUUAAACGCUCUAACCAGAAGCUCAUACCGAUUAUUAAGCUAAUUAGUGCUCUAGAAAUUUAGAGAUGUCAAAUGAUGAAGAAAAGGAAAAGGAAGAGGUUUGGAUGACUACGAAUGAGUAGAUGGGGGUGCAAAAUGACAAUCAUGGGAGAUGGAAGGAUUUUUUAAAGAGAGAGAGAAGGGGAUUUGCUCCAUGGAGAUGAUGGACUGGUUAGCAUUUUAUUUUUUAUUUUUAAGUAGAUUGAGUUAGGUGUAAAAAGAAGUUUGAUUGAGUUGAGUUUUGAUAAGUAAGGGCGGUUUCAAAAAUAAUGUUGGGUGUAAAUAGAUAAUGAUAGAUAAAUCAAAUACAAUGUGGAUACAAAAAGUAAGAUGUGUGUUGAGAUACAAAAUAUGGGUUCAAAUAAAAUUUCCCAAACUCUCUCACGGUCAAGUUAGUGAAUGAUUUUGGACUUAAGCAGUGGACAAGAGAAUUCAAGUGUUUAGAUUGUGUUAUCGGAGAUGAACCCUAUAUGGGUGUAUUUAUAUAGAGAGACAUUUUUAGGAUUGAAAAUAUCUAGGAAUAGAUCUUGCAUUGUGAUUACUUGCCGCACUCGCUAGUCCCUAGAUUGUUGGAAAUUCAAGACUUAAAGAUCUAAUGGUGUCCAUAUCUGGAUCAAAGCAUGGUUAUCUAGCGGAGUCGUAAAGACUCCGAUUGGUGCCCUGGAAUCGGAUAAUGGUGGCAUCACUAUCCAUCUGAUACAACUCCGUCCGCAACUGAUGAAUCCAUAACCGGACUUCUGAAGUAACUGUAUUCAGAUCAGCUUCAUUCUAAAAAAUCAUCGUCCACAAUUAUCUCUAACCAUUCAUUUGAAAGGCAAUCUGAUGCCCUUGAUGAUGGAUUGUUAUCCAAAGGCCAUUUGUUUUGCUCGACUGCGUUCACAUCAUUUGUUAGGCUGUCAGCCAUUAAAGCUUCUGACCCAAUGUAGCUUUUCGACAAAGACCCAAAAUUUCCAAAUGAGCUCUGAAUAUUUCAAUUCUGGAGCUUUAGUGUUCUGGGCUUCUUCUGCAACGGGGUCUUGCAAAGAAACAUGGUGUAUUUGCAUAGAGGUUCGUGACUGAAAUUGCAGUGAAGGAAAACUGAGUCUGUGGGUGUUAAUUGCAGAGCUUUUAAGUUGGAAAUUAGUCGGGGAAAAAGAAGGGGAGAGCGGGAGGGAGUUUGGGGGUUGUGGAAGAGAGAAGAUGGUGGAGCACAUGUGGUAAGCCAUUUCCCUCUCUGAAAUUGGGUUGACUCACUUUUGCCUUUAUAUUCAUAAUGUAUAGAUCGGAGUGUUCGUCAACUCGGGCCACAACCAACUAGAUGACCAACUGGACCGGAGUUGCUUGCAGCAGAAUUGGUGGGACUCGACGAGUUGUUUCUCUUGAUCUUUCCGAAUUUAGACUCACUGGCUCUAUAUGUUGGUAUAUGGUCCAGCCCAUGAUCAAUGUUCUAGAUUAUUCUAGUAAGCAAGAGAUGAGGCUGGAGCUUGCUAGACAAUUCUAGCAUGUUAUUAAGUUGAUGGAAGAAGCUAGAGAGUACUAGCUUCCUUGGUUGCAAAUGGAAAGAUCUAGAAGCUACAAGUAUGUGGCUAGUCUAGAUUUUUCUAUACUAGAGGUUUGAAGAAGGAACUAGAAACUAGUAGAAUGCCAAGCCCUCACCUAUAAAUAUGGGUGUGAUGUAACCAAUAGAGAACUAAGAGUGAGUAGCAAAGGAUCAAGUCCAAAGCUAGAGUUCCACUCCAAGAGUGAGAGUGAGAGUGUUCCACUACACAUUGUGUGAGUGAAGUUUAGAGUGAUAGAAAGUGUGUGUUAUACUUUCUUGUAUCCAUCAAGCCUUGUCUUUGGCUUGGUAAGACUACUCUUAUUGUAUUCAUCUUUUUCAUAUAGUGAAGAUUCCUUGUUUGGUGGACGUAGGCAUAAAUUGCCGAACCACAUAAAUUGUUGGCGUCCAUUUUCUACUUUACCUUGUGCAUUCUCUAUCUUGUAGUACCGACAUUCCUAACAAGUGGUAUCAGAGCCCGGUUGGCUCGUACUGCGAGAUGGAAGGAAGUGGCACUAUGAUCAAACUCACCAACUCCAAUUGGGUAACAUGGAAGCCAAGGAUGGAGGACAUUCUCUAUUGCAAGGAUCUGCAUGAGCCAAUUGAAGGAGAUGCCGCUAAGCCAGAGAGCAUGUCCGAUGCCGAGUGGAAGAAGAUGAAUCGCAAGGCUAUUGGCACAAUUAGACAAUGGGUGGACGAUAGUGUUUUUCACCAUGUGUCUAAUGAAACCAAUGCUCGCGAGUUUUGGACAAAGCUUGAGUCCUUGUUCGAGAAGAAGACUCCAGCUAAGAAAGCCUUCUUGAUCAAAGAGCUCAUCAAUGUGAAGUACAAUGAUGGUUUAAGUGUAGCAGAACACUUGAACAAUUUCCAGAAUAUCAUCAACCAGUUGGCUACUAUGAAAAUGACAAGCGCUCUUGUUACUUGGAUCCUUGCCAGACAGUUGGGAGACCUUUGUGGUGAGUAUAAGUAACUCUGCUUCUAAUGGUGUUCUUACCCUUGAUAAUGUUAAAAAUAGCAUGCUCAAUGAAGAAACAAGGAGAAAGACUUCUGGCACAGAUAGCAGCCAAGUAUUUGUCACAGAGAACCGCGGAAGAAGCAAGAGUAGAGGGCCUAGAGGUCAUGGCAGGAGUCCUAGCCGAUCCAAGUCAAGGUUCAGGGGUGCAUGCCACCACUGUGGCAAGGAAGGCCAUAUGAAGAAAAAUUGUCGAGUUUGGAAGAGAGAGCAAAGGGAAGGAAACAAUCAGAAGAAAGAUGAUACUGGCAAUACCACUGCUGUCAUAUGUGGUGAUGUACCAGAAAUAUUGUCUGUUGGUGAAUGUCUGCAUAUGGGCAACUCUGACAGAGACAUUGAAUGGAUCUUUGACAAUGGAGCUUCCUUUCAUGCUACGUCCAAACGGGAGUUCUUCAGUACAUACAAAGAAGGUGACUUUGGCAUAGUGAAGAUGGGGAAUGAAAGCUAUUCCAAAAUUCUUGGAAUUGGUGAUAUAUGUCUAAGAACUAAUCUCGGCUGCCAAUUGAUGUUGAAAGAUGUGAGACAUAUUCCUGAUAUACGUCUCAAUCUGAUAUCCAUCGGUACCCUUGAUCGACAAGGAUAUUAUCACCAUAUUGGCGAAGGAAAAUUGAAGCUUACCAAAGGCUUAAUGGUGGUAGCAAGAGCACGACUUUGUUGUACGUUGUACCGGUCAAAUGCCAAGGUUUUGAAAGGUGAGUUGAAUGCUGUGGAGGACUCAUCUCUAGACUUAUGGCAUAAGAGGCUAGGCCACAUAAGCGAGAAAGGCCUACAAGUUUUGGCAAAGAAGUCUCACAUUCCCUUUACCAAAGGAACGUCGUUAAACUCUUGUGAGCAUUGUUUAUUCGGAAAACAAAGAAGAGUUAGUUUUUCUGUUCCAUCUACAAAGAAAGGAAACUUGUUAGAUCUUGUUUAUUCAGAUGUGUGUGGUCCCAUGGAAGUCGAGUCACUUGGAAGAAAUAAAUAUUUUGUUACUUAUAUUGAUGAUGCUUCACGAAGGGUGUGGGUGUAUUUGUUGAAAACCAAAGACCAGGUGUUUCAGACAUUCCAGGAGUUCCAUGCCAUGGUGGAGAGGGAAACUGGGAAACCUCUCAAGUGCCUUCGUAGCGACAACGGCGGCGAGUACACAUCUCACCAGUUUAGAGAGUAUUGUGUAAAACAUGGCAUACGUCAUGAGAAGACAGUUCCUGGAACUCCACAACAUAACGGUGUUGCUGAAAGAAUGAACCGAACCAUCAUGGAGAAAGUCAGGUGUAUGUUGAGGACUGCAAAGUUAUCUAAGCAGUUCUGGGGUGAAGCUGUAAGGAUAGCCUGCUAUUUGAUCAACCGAUCUCCAUCAGUGCCAUUAGGUCUUGAUGUUCCAGAGAGAGUAUGGACUGGUAAUGAUGUGUCUUACUCUCAUCUGAAGGUGUUUGGUUGCAAAGCUUUUGUGCAUGUGCCCAAAGAGCAGAGAUCGAAGUUAGACUACAAAGCUACACCGUGCAUCUUUCUUGGUUAUGGCGGUGAAGAUUUUGGUUACAGAUUAUGGGACCCAUACCAGAAGAAGUUUAUCCGAAGUAGAGACGUGGUCUUUUAUGAAGAACAAACAAUUGGGGAUUCGGAUAAAGAGGCACAACCAGAUGGCGCAGUCAGAGGAGUUGAUCCAUUAGCUUCAGAUGAAGAAAGUCACGAUGACAUCCCUGAAGCAACUGCCAAUGAAGUGCCUGCAGAACCAGAUAAUGCUGAUCAGGGGGAGCCUGAUCAAGAUGUGCCAGACCAUGAGAUUGCUGAUCAGGUGGAGCCUAGUCAAGAAGAGCAGAUUCAAGGAAAACCCAAUCAGGGGGAGCCUUCAGCCCUACAAGAGAAUGAAGAUCAGGUCAGAAGAUCCAUCAGAAAUCGAAGACCGUCUACCAAGUAUUCUUCAUCAGAGUAUAUCAUGUUGACUAAUUAUGGAGAGCCUGAAACAUAUGAGGAGGCCAGAGCUCAUAACGACAGUGACAAAUGGAUGAAGGCAAUGGAGUCGGAGAUGGAUUCCUUAUCAAAGAAUGAUACCUAUGAGCUGGUGGAGCUUCCAAAGGGCAGGAAAGCAUUGAAAAACAAGUGGGUGUUCAAAUUGAAAAGAGACGACAACAUGACAAGGUACAAGGCUCGUUUGGUUGUCAAAGGUUUUGGUCAAAAGAAAGGAGUUGACUUCGAUGAGAUUUUCUCACCGGUGGUGAAGAUGACUUCCAUUUGAGUUAUCCUUGGUAUGGCAGCAAGUAUGGAUCUUGAGCUCGAGCAGUUAGAUGUUAAAACUGCAUUUCUCCACGGAAAUUUAGAAGAGGAGAUAUACAUGGAGCAACCCAAAGGCUUUGAAGUCAAAGGUAAAGAAAAUUUGGUGUGCAAGCUCAAGAAAAGCUUAUAUGGUCUUAAGCAGGCUCCGAGACAGUGGAAUAAGAAGUUCAACUCAUUCAUGGUGAGUAAUGGGUACAAGAGAACUCAUGCUGACUCUUGUGUCUAUAUCAAACAAUUUUCUGGAGGUAAAUUCAUCAUCUUAUUGCUUUAUGUUGAUGACAUGUUGAUUGUCGGACAAGAUACCUCUAUGAUUAAAAAGCUCAAAGAAGAGUUAUCUAAGUCCUUUGACAUGAAGGACUUAGGGCCAGCCAAGCAGAUUUUGGGCAUGGAUAUAAUUCGUGACAGAAAAUCCAAAAAGUUGUGGUUGUCACAAGAAAAGUAUGUUGAACGGGUGCUUGAAAGGUUCAACAUGAAAGCAGCCAAAUCGGUAAGCUCACCUUUAGCCAAUCAUAUCAAGUUGAGCAAAGAGUCGUGUCCAAAAACAUAUGAAGAAAAGGAGAAAAUGGCAGUUGUUCCAUACUCUUCAACAGUAGGAAGUAUCAUGUAUGCAAUGGUGUGCACACGGCCAGAUAUUGCUCAUGCAGUAGGUGUGGUGAGCAGGUUUCUCUCUAAUCCAGGGAAUGACCACUGGGAAGCUGUUAAGUGGAUUCUCAGAUAUUUGAAGGGGACUUCUAAGAUGUGCUUGUGCUUUGGCGGUUCCAAACCAAUCUUGGAAGGAUUUACAGAUGCUGACAUGGGAGGUGACCUGGAUGGUAGAAAAUCUACAUCUGGGUACUUGUUCACUUUUGCCGGGGGAGCCGUGUCUUGGCAAUCCAAGUUGCAAAAGUGUGUUGCUUUGUCCACAACCGAGGUUGAAUACAUAGCCGCUACAGAAGCAUGCAAGGAGUUGUUGUGGCUGAAGCAGUUUCUCCAAGAGUUGGGUUUGAAGCAAAGUGAUUACGGCAUUUAUUGUGAUAGUCAGAGUGCUCUGGACUUGAGCAAGAACACUACAUAUCAUUCACGCACUAAGCACAUUGAUAUUCGUUAUCACUGGAUUAGAGACGCUAUCGAGAACAAGUUGCUGCAGCUGAAGAAGAUUCAUACUGAUAAUAAUUCUUCAGACAUGUUGACAAAAGUAGUCACAAAAUCAAAGUUGGAAUUCUGCAUUAAAGCUGCUGGGAUGAACUCCAGGUAACUUGGAGUCAUGAUCGGAAUUCCUCCCUCAUGGACUGGAGGGGGAGAUUGUUGGUAUAUGGUUCAGCCCAUGAUCAAUGUUCUAGAUUAUUCUAGUAAGCAAGAGAUGAGGCUGGAGCUUGCUAGACAAUUCUAGCAUGUUAUUAAGUUGAUGGAAGAAGCUAGAGAGUACUAGCUUCCUUGGUUGCAAAUGGAAAGAUCUAGAAGCUACAAGUAUGUGGCUAGUCUAGAUUUUUCUAUACUAGAGGUUUGAAGAAGGAACUAGAAACUAGUAGAAUGCCAAGCCCUCACCUAUAAAUAUGGGUGUGAUGUAACCAAUAGAGAACUAAGAGUGAGUAGCAAAUGAUCAAGUCCAAAGCUAGAGUUCCACUCCAAGAGUGAGAGUGAGAGUGUUCCACUACACAUUGUGUGAGUGAAGUUUAGAGUGAUAGAAAGUGUGUGUUAUACUUUCUUGUAUCCAUCAAGCCUUGUCUUUGGCUUGGUAAGACUACUCUUAUUGUAUUCAUCUUUUUCAUAUAGUGAAGAUUCCUUGUUUGGUGGACGUAGGCAUAAAUUGCCGAACCACAUAAAUUGUUGGCGUCCAUUUUCUACUUUACCUUGUGCAUUCUCUAUCUUGUAGUACCGACAUUCCUAACACUAUAAGCCACCAUGUUGGUGGCUUGACAAUUCGAUGAUGAUGAUGAGCGGUGGAGACGGAGGACUAGAAACUUCGAUGAUGAUGAGUAUAUUUAGAGAUAGGGAUUUUACUUGGAAAAGGGAAGGGCAGAGAACGAAGAAUCAUGAACUUUAGUAUAAAUGGUAUUAUAGUAUUUUUAUGUGAAAUUUUUGUAAGCCCCCUCUCAAAAACUCGACCUCUGAUGUCCAUCGGACGUCAGACGACGGCUGGGCAUGGCUGCACCUUUUACGGCCUUCCGAGGGCUUUCUAACAGUUUUGGCUUUUUUCUUUCAUUUUUGGAUUUCGUCGCAGGUAUAAACUUUCAUCUCUUGUCGAUAUCUUGCUACCUGUGAAGUUUGGUUUUUGACGAAAAACUGAGUUUCUGCUUACUGGAAACCAUCGCGCAUGGCGGCACAUGUGGUGGUGUAUGGGCAACUCUAGUGACAUGGAUUUUGGAUAGAUGUUCUUGAUGCCCCAAAGCCUAUAUCCAAGGGCCGUUUGUUGAGAUUCGAAGCGAUAGUUAAUUAUUCAAUUUUUGAAUUAAUUGUAUCGUCGUUCAAUUUUCACAAUUGACAUCGUUGGAUCGUCGUGCAAUUUUACGAGUAUGCUAUUUAUUGAUUGUCGAUCCUUUGUUAACUUGUGGAAUGGAAAUCCAACGUUUGGAUCUUUCAUACUGAAGAAUCUAGUGUAGAAUUUCACGCUGAAACUCAAAACUCAAAACUCGCUUCAUAUUGCCUUGUUUCCCUAAAUUUAUUAAACAUCCAUUAAAUUUGCUUAUGUGGCUUUAAAUUCUAUGAAAUCAAUGGAAUUUUAUAUUUUUAUUGGAUUAAUAUUUUGGUUUGUCGUUACUGUUUGAUUUGAUUAAUAAUUUGGCCCCAUUUUCAUAAAAUUAGUUUUGUUUUACAUCUACAUUUUUUUAAUCCACAUCAGCAUAUAUGACAGUUUUUUAACGAAAUUGGCAAAAACAAAGCAAUCUGGAGCAAAUUUUGAGUUUCACGGACUAGGUGGAAUCUACUAUAUAAAUCAUAUAACACAACUAUGCUCAAUUUUACAUCAAGUUUUUUUUUAACUCCAAGUACUCCAUAUAUUUUCUUAAAUUAUCCAUAAGAAUUAUAUACUACAUUAACUAAAAACUGACCACUAUAGUAAUAUUAUUAUCCUAAGAUAGCUAGUAAAUUUAUUUAUUCACUUAAAUUAUAAUUCGGUUGAUGCACGCUAUAUAAAAUUGAGAGCUUUAAUGAAAAUGGCUUGAGUGAAGUUUAAUUUAAUCAAAAAUCAUCUUAUAUUAUUAUUUAACCAAAAAUACUUUAGAUUUAAUCAUAAGGACACAACUAAUCUAUAUGAAAUCCCACAAACAUUAAAACUACAUGGGCUGAAUUAAAAGCCCAAAACAGAAUAUUUUCAGCGCUUGCCCCUAACAGAAACCCAUUCCGUCAGCCGAUCCCGUUAAAAAAACUAUACAACAUUUCAAGCGAACAACAAAAGGCAAAUAUUUCAGUUAAUUAAAUCCCACCCCGCUCUAAACACCUCACUCGCCAUCGCGGUCUCCCACCUCGCUCGAUUUGCCGUGAUUUGCCGAGAGAAACAAUCCCCUGAAUCUCACAGUCGAUCUCGUCUGCUUGUUCCAGGUUCGAUCAGAUCUUUGUCUCUUUGCUACAGACUUUAUUAUUUAUUUAAUUAAAUCCCGUGUCAUUCUAUUUGUUAGAUGGUAGUUUCCAAAAAGUUUUUGAAAAUUUUAUGGUUUUUUUUGUUUGUUCAUUUAUGGAUGAAUUGAUGGACUGGGUUGUGGUUUAUAUUUAUAUUUGUGAUUAGAUAUGGAUUUCUUUAUGAACUGCAUAUGGGUUUAUUCUGUUGAUUUGAGCUCCGAAGGACUGAAAAUCCCAGAAAGAUUCAUGAGACACAUGGAAGGCAGAACAUCGGGGUUAGUUUCGUUGUUCGACCUUAGCGGCAGUGCGUGGAGCGUUGAAUUGAUUCAAUAGAAUGUUGGUUUGUUCUUGCAUCAUGGGUGGUCGGCAUUUGUGAGAGACCAUUACGCAUUUGAUGAGGCCUGGUGCGGAUGUUGUUUUAUUUAAGGUAAAGGCAUCGAUCCAAAAUAUGUGUGGAAAAAGAGAUGGAUUCAAUGUUAACAGUAGAACUUGUUUGCAGAUGUCAUCAACACAUGAAGUAGCUCCAUCGUUUAGUCCUCUAAGUUCUAUUCCGCUUGUUACUCGUCCAGCCUUUCUCUUUGAUUGUACUCAAACGGAUUGCCCCAGGGGGGUUUUUCUUUUUAAUAUAGUUUUUUAUUUUCUAUCCAAAAAAAAAAACAGCCUAAAUUUUAAUGAAAAUGAACACCAACUAUCACUAUUUCUUAAAGUGGGCACUGAUUAUUUCUUAAACUGAACACUGGUACUAUCAUUAUUUUUUAAACAGAACACGAACUAUUUCUAGAAUUGAACAUUGACUAUUUCUUAAACUGAACACUGCUACUAUCAUUAUUUUGUAAACUGACCACUAACUAUUUCUAGAACUAAACACGAUACUAUCACUAUUUCUUAAAGUUAGCACUAACUAUUUCUUAAAUUGAACACUGCUACUAUCACUAUUUUGUAAACUGAACACUGGUACUAUCAUUAUUUCUUAAACAUAACACACACUAUUUUUAAAAUUGAACAUUGAGUAUUUCUUAAACUGAACACUGGUACUAUCAUUAUUUCGUAAAUUGACCACUAACUAUUUCUAGAACUAAACACGAUACUAUCACUAUUUCUUAAAGUGAGCAUUGCCUAUUUCUUAAACUGAACAUUGGUACUAUCAUUAUUUCGUAGACUGACCACUAACUAUUUCUAGAACUAAACACGAUACUAUUACUAUUUCUUAAAGUGAGCACUAACUAUUUCUUAAACUGAACAUAGACUAUUUCUAGAAUUGAACAUUGACUAUUUCUUAAACUGAACACUGGUACUAUCACUAUUUCAUAAACUAACCACUAACUAUUUCUAGAACUAAACACGAUAAUAUCACUAUUUCUUAAAGUAAGCACUGACUAUUUCUUAAACUGAAUACUGGUACUAUCACUAUUUCGUAAACUGAACACUGAUUGUUUCUAGAACCAAACACGGGUAUUAUCACUAUUUCUUAAACUGAACACUAACUACUUCUUAAACUGAACAGAGUGCAAAGUGAGCAUCUUUUGUAAUUGGUUGGGUCCCCAUCCCUUCUCCCUCACCAUCCUAUUAUAGGAAAUGAUUGUAGAGUGCAAAGUGACAUAUAAAUAAUUAUGAUUCAAUUUUAGAGGAGCUACAAAGCCACACCAAACAACUUUUCUUACAACAAAAUGGUAUGACUGAUAACUCAAAUUUUUUUACCUUCACUCAGCAACAUCCUGCAAGUGCAGGAAAACCAAAAGUAUAUUGAAAGAUAAAAAUCUUCAUAUGUGCAAAUAAAUCAAGUGAAUAAUCAUUAAUCACAAAUGCUGAGAAAUGAAAAUAUAUAUACCCGCAACAUGAUUUCUAGCUUUCUCUAAUUUAUCAAGAGCAGCAUUUCUUGGCUUUCCAUGCUCAUCUUGGCUCUCAGUGCCGUCUUGGCUUUUCCUUUUCAGUAUCCCGUUCCUCGUCCUUAGAAGAUUCUUCUGAGUCCUCAGCAACUUGCAUGUCGACAAGGCUUUUUGCUACCGUCUGAGCAACCACAGCUGCCUACAUCCAAAAAUCGCCACUUCACAAACUAAACCACAAAAUGCAGCAAACCUACACUCUUCUAUUUGGACUAAAAACAUAAAUCUUUGCAUAGUUUAUAAUUAAACUGCCACAAGCAAACAAAAACAUAUACAUGCAUGUAAUCAGAUUACGGCACCAAACUCUUAAUAACUUAAACCUACUUUGAGAUUCGCAAUCUAAAACAGUUAAUUAACUCUGCAAUUAUCAAACACCACCAAAAACACUAAUCAACAUUUCCCAAACUUAUAAACUCUAAUUCCCAAAAUACACCAAAUCAAGUUGCAUAUUCAAAUACAUUUAUCAAACGCUGGAGAUUUGAGAAGACGGACGAAAAGCCCCAACCUCCCUAUCCUUCGCUUCUUUCCGAAGCGAGAUCUGCGUAUAUUGUUCACAUGCAUCAGGAUUUCAAUUGCAUUUUCCAGAGUUGUUGGGGUUGUCGAUACGUGUGUUGGAAUUGUGAUGAAAUUAACGAAAGGCUCUAAAUCUAUAAACCUUCUCUCUCUCUCUCUCCAUCUGAAGCGAAACGAACCAACGGACAAGACUUAACGUCAAGGGUAAAAUCGAAAGCUCGAUAUAUUAUAUUUUUUGGGCUGGCUUGAUAUUGGAUUUUGUACUAACCAUUAAAUAAAGUUCUUACAUGAUUUUUGAUUAAAAUUCAAAGUAUUGAAGACAUUUUCAUUAGUUUUCCUUAAGUUAUUUUGAUUCACUUUCAGAAAUAGUGUUGGUUAUUUUGUUGUGGUUUUAGAUAUAAUGUUUAUUUUGUUACCUUUUAGAAAUAGUGUGGGUUAUUUUAGUCUAAUUUUAGAAAUAAUGUGAGUUAUUUUGUUGUAGUUCUAGAAAUAGUGUGAGUUAUUUUCGUUUAGUUUCAGAAAUAGUAUGAGUUAUUUGUUGUAGUUUCAGCAAUAAUGUGGAUUAUUUUGGGCCAGUUUAAAAAAUUGUGUGAUUAUUUUGGUGUAGUUCCAAAAAUAGUGUGAAUUAUUUUGGUUCAAUUUUAGAAAUACUGUGAUUAUUUGACUGUAGUUUCAAAAAUAGUGUGAAUUAUUUUUGUUCAGUUUCAGAAAUAGUGUGGUUAUUUUGUUGUAGUUCCAGAAAUAGUAUGAGUUAUUUUGGUUUACUUCCAGAAAUAGUGUUAGUUAUUUUACUGUAGUUUAAAAAAUAAUGUUUAUUUUGUCCCCUUCCAAAAAUAAUGUGCGUUAUUUUGGUUCAGUUUCAGAAAGAGUAUGAGUUAUUUUGCUAUAAUUCAAGAAAUAGUGUGGGUACUAUACUAUUUAUGAAACUGAACACGGGUACUAUACUAUUUAUGAAACUGAACACGGGUACUAUACUAUUUAUGAAACUGAACACAAAUACUACACCAUUUAUGAAACUGAACACAUUAUUACACUAUUUAUGAAACUGAACACAGAUACUACACUAUUUAUGAAACAAAACAUUGGUAAUAUCACUAUUUCUUAAAUCGAACACUGACUAUUUCGGAACUGAACAUGGGCACCAUACUAUUUCUGAAACUGAACAUUGGUGUUACACUAUUUAUGAAAAUGAAUGCUGGUACUAUCACUAUUUCUUAAACUGAACGCUAACUUCUAAAACUGAAUAUGAAUACUAUGCUAUUUCCAAAACUAACAAAGACAUGAUCAGACACCUAGCUAGGAUUCGAAUACAAUUUUCCACAUACUUCCAAGAUGGCUUGGAUAGACUCUAUAUAUAAUUAAUUGCUAAUUAUAAUAGCAUCAGCAAAACCUUGUUUAUAAGUUGUCAUAGCACUCACCAAAAUAAACUCGUACUUUUCAACUUGUCUUUCUCAAAAGACUAAAUGAUAAUUAGUUUCAAAUGUGGACCAUCUCCAUAUGGCUUUUGGUUAAAAAGAUGUGGUUUAUGAUAAGUAGAAAGCUAGCUUUCUCUAUUGGCAGCCUCUUUACAAUUUCAUAUUUGUAUUUUAUAAUAAUAAAAAGAUGUGCUUCCCCUCUUGAUAAUUGGGCUCAUCUUUAACUUCAAGAUCAACCAAGUUUGCUUCCAUAUCGUAGACCUCCUUGCGAAUGAUGGUGCCAUUCUUGUAGUUGGAAUUGUUGGUGUAGCGGAGCUACGUCGUCGGGUCGAAACUCGAACUCUAGGAACUCGUGGCCGAACUUGCCCUUGUGGCCGACGUAGUACCUCAGGUAGAACUCGUUGGUCUCUUCCUCUCCGGCUAUCUCCGUCUCUCUCGCUUGCUUUUUUCUCUCUUCCUUCAUCCUCAAAGGCUCCUAAUAUGGUGAUUCGAAAAAAUGGUGGAAUUCGAAUGGAAUGGAAAAUGAAAACAGAGAUGUGGAGAGAUCGAGAGAGAGGUAGAGAGAUCAAUUCGAUUACAAAAAUGGAGGAAUUGUUUAUGUGCAGAGGAGAGAUCAAGAUUAGGCAGAGAGAUUGAGAAGGGAGAUCGAGAAAUAGGGAUUACGUGGAAAGACUGAGAAAUGGAGAGAGGAUCAACGGGAAAUGAUUUGCUGUUAAGGGUAAAACUGGAAACUUAUUUCUUGGGCUAAUCUUACUGGGCUGGUUUGAUGUUGGGCUUUGUCCUAACCAUUAAAUAAAUUUAUUAUCUGGUUUUUUAUUAAGAUUCAAAAUUUUAAAGCUCUUUUCAUUAAUUUUCCUUAUAAAAUUAUCUCUAACUUUUUCUGCAGGGGCAAAUUGACGCCAAAAGAAAAAUAUUGAAGCAGCAUGUAGAUGCCCCCUCAAUUAAAAACUUCUUGUGGCUGUCAUCUGCAGCUUUAGCUAUCAAAUAAUCAAAGACAUCGUGCAAUAUUUGCAGAACUCUGAGAUUAUUGCUCUAAUAUUUGUACACAUGUAACACAAAUGUCUUGUGAAAAGAUAGAGAAAUUUGCAGAGAUAAUACCUGAAGAGACCUAUAUGUAUAUAUUUUUCUGCUCGUAUCUUUUCCUUCCAAUCUAGAACUACGAAUGUUUACAGACAGGUCAGUAUUUAGGAGCAUGCCUUUGAGGUAUCGACAUGAAGAUAGAGUAAAUUGUGCCUACUGGUUUGAUAUUAUGUGUUUGUUUUGUUGAGCAGUUGUUGAUGGGGAUAUAAAAAGACCACAGGAUGAAGACAUACAAUCCAAUGUUCUUGAAAUAGUUGGGUCGAACAUCCAGUCCACAUGCAUUACUUGCCCAACGGACCCAUCAGCUACACUGAGUAUAAAACUUCCGUUCCUGGUUAUGAUUGUAAAGAAUCUGAAGAAAUAUUGCACAUUUGAGAUUCAAAUUCUGGAUGACAAGAAUGUCAGGCGACGUUUUCGAGCUUCCAAUUUUCAAGUGUGCAAGUUUGCCCGUGUUUAUUGAUGUUUAUCAACUGCCUAAUGGGUUGAUCUUGUUGUUCUCUGUUUUCUUCUUUUCUUUUCUAUUUGGUAUUUCAGUUCAGGGAAUAUUCUGGUACACGAUAAUGCUUCUUAUGUUUUUGUAUAAAAGAUAUGUAUGUGUGUGUGUGUGUGUGUGUGUGUGUGUAUUUCGCAUACAAGUCUAACCGUUUAUGUUUGUCUUUUGAGAUUCAUUUGGCAUAAAAUUGGUCCUGUUGCAUUCUUACUUCUUUGUUAAUAUUAUUCAUGACUGAAAAUGGUAGGUAAAGUUUUGGACUAGUACCAGUAGGAGUUCUGGUGAACGUUUACUGAAUAGGCACAAUUUCAGAUAAAACUAAAAGUGCAGGAUCUUUUUCUUUUAGGACAAUCUGUGAACAUUUCAACAAAUAUUCAUGGAAGGUAUGUGCACAGUUAAUGUAGUGAAAGACGACGGAGCUUUACCUUCAGAUCGAUACGUUCUCCCACUUUAUUUAUUUCCACAUCAAAUUGUGAAAAUCUUGUUUCUUCUCAUCCGUUUCGAGAAGAUGCCAACACAAGUGCUUUCCUUUUUCAUACCCCAGCUCAACAUACACGAAUACUCCUAAAUUCAAAUAUGGUGAAAUUAUAAACAAUUGAUUGAUCUUAUAAAACAUGCAUGAGGAAACAAUUCUGUUUAUUUAUUUAGUGAUCUUAUAAACGAUUGAUCGAUCUUAGACAAGUUGUUUAUUUAUCAACUUUUCAUAAACUGAAGAAACAAAAGUGAAAUGGAACCCAAUUUUUGUUAUCUGCAGUGUUCAAUAAAAGAAAUAUCGUUCCUGUGAAAUGUGUAGUGCAGCAACCACCCACCUGUUCUAGUAACAUAAUGUACUGACUUCCAACAAACGCAAGCAUGAGGGCAGUGCUGCAAAGAAACCUGUCUCUCCUUUUUUUUUUCUUUUUUUUUUCUUUUUUUUUUUGUGGUCAUCAUCACCUGUUCUCACUUCAACAGCUGUGUAUGUACAAAAAGAACAUAUCUGCACCCACUCGAAGAUGGCAGCAACAUGAAGAGAAGAUGAAAAGGCAUGUUGCUUGUAUUGAAAAUAAAGCAGUAUAAGAGUAGAACAUCAUUCCAGGGGUUACCUAUCCAAUUGGAGGAGAACCGUAUUGAUACCACACUGCAAGGAGAACCAUUCAUGGACAACUAAUUGAUGGACACUAAAAUCGUUGGCUUUAGAUAAUCCAAUAUUUACAGUUCCACAGUUUGCUAUCCAUAUCAGCAAAGCUGAGAAACAGGGUAGUUUUAACAUCUCAAAUGUUAAAACAUGAAAAGCAUUUCAACCAAAUGGAAAAACAUCUCAAAUGUUGAGCCUUAACAAUAGUUUUAACAUCAAUUAUAGAAAGCGAGAAGCGUAAUUGAAAGGAUGAAGAUGUUAGAAAUGGGAAUUUACCUUCCGGUAUCAUGGCCAUAGCAUUGACAACCUCUGUGGGAGCGUCAGCAGCCUCACUUCUGAGUACUGAAACAAUGGAGUCCGACUCUGAAAUCGGGACAGCAUUACCACUCCCUGUUGGCACCAAAAGAUGCUUGCCUCAAAGAUUGCCAUAUGACCUUAUUCUUUGGUAAAGCAAACCUUUCACGUUGGAGUCGAUGGACAGAUCUUUUAUUUUGCUCCUCAAUCCAUUGGCGUCCUGGACGAAAGACCGAAAAGAUCUCGUCACUCAUAACGCAGUAAACAGGACAAUUACAAAGUUAUAAUUUGCAUAUUAUGUAUCUUCUAUUUACUUUAGUGUUAAGAACCUCAUCACAAAGGAAAUUCAAAAGCCUAAGCUUUUGGGAGAAGCUUAAGGCAUCAUAUCCAUCCCCGCCUCCACUAAAACACUCUACGGGCAACACUGCGGCAGCUCCUUCAUAACGGGGUCGACCUUAGAGAGUUCACCAAAUCUUGGAACCAUGAGCAGUUGGUGCUUGCUUGCUCUAGAGACAUAACUGAAAAUAAAGUUGGCAUAAACCACAUGUAUUAUUUUCACAAUUAAAGCUUACUAAAAGUACUUUACACAUAACUAUAAUACACUAGGUAGAGUUCUUUCUCCUGUAUGAAGAAAAACAUAUAGCUAUGAAAUCGAACAAUGGAAAACUGAUCAGGCCGUCCACUUCGUCCACGCGAGAGUUCUCAAAGAACAGGUUCAGCUUGGGACUUUUCAAUUUAAAAAAAAAAAUAGAGUAAAAAGAAACAAGAAAAGAAAAUGGGAUUUCAAGUGACUUGGAAGUCCAGGAAUGUUUUAGCACCCCAAAAAAGGGUGAACAAAAUCAAUUAAAAGAAGUUUAGAGCAACAUUUCAAUCAAAUAUAUAAUAGAACAACAGUAAGAAUUACCCCUCUAAAUGUUUCACAGAACUUACAAAAAUUGGAGAUCAUUCCCCACAUCCUCAGCAGCUAAUGGUGCCCUGAGGUAGGGGAAGAUCUAGAUCAACCCCUCUGCUAUCAAUCCGGCGUUCUUUGACCCUGCGACACGCUCCUGCAGCCUUGCCCUUGCCCUUGGCAUCAUUCUGAUUCACAGCACCACCAUCAUCUCUGCUGCUUUACAAGUUUCCAUCAACUCGUCCUGCUUUGCUGCAUCCGAGUACUUUACAUCUUUGCUCAGAAGAGAAUGCUCUUUUGGAAUAAUUGUGUAUUCUAUUCAUCUCUCAAGGAGGGGUUUAUAUGAUGUUACAAUUCUAUCAACAAGGAAAGAAAUAAUUUACAUAAAAUCAUAUUAAACUAAGAAUCCCAAGAUUACAGGAAUAUACACAAAAAGUCAACAUUCCCCCUCCAGUUGGUGCAUAUAUGUCACACAUGCCCAACUUAUGUAGGAAACUUGAAAACUUAUGACUUGAAACAGCCUUUGUGAGGAUAUCUGCCAACUGAUCUUCCGUUCUUAUCGCUGGUUCCUCAAUUAUCUUCCUUUCCAAUUUCUCUUUGAUGAAGAACCGGUCAACUUCAACAUGCUUUGUUCUAUCAUGCUGUACUGGAUUAUGUGCAAUAUCACAUGCAACUUUAUUAUCACAAAAUAAUUUCAUAGGUUGAUCAUGUUUUAUACCCAAAUCCCUUAGCAUAAGCUUAAGCCAUAAAAUUUCACAAAGCCCUAAGGUCAUACCUCUGUAUUCAGCUUCUGCACUAGACCGGGCAACCACAUUUUGUUUCUUACUCCUCCAAGUAACCAAGUUACCCCCAACGAAUGUAAAGUAACCUGAUGUUGAGCGCCUGUCAUCCACUGAUCCUGCCCAAUCUGCAUCAGUAUAACCUUCAACUCUAAGAUGAUUAUUCCUUUUAAACAAAAUUCUUUUGCCUGUGCUUCCCUUCAAAUAUCUUAAAAUCCUCAUCGCUGCAUUCAUAUGGUGUUCUCCAGGAUCAUGCAUGUAUUAACUCACUACACUCAAGGCAUAUGCAAGGUCUGGUCUUGUAUGUGCCAAGUACAUUAAACGGCCUACUAACCUUUGGUAUCUCCCUUUGUCAACUGAUACUUGAUUAGGAUCAACACUAAGUUUCAAUCCUUCCUCUAAUGAUGUAGCUACUGGCUGACAAGCUGACAUGCCGGUUUCGUAUAACAAAUCAAUAAUAUACUUCCUCUGAGACAAAUAAAUUCCAGAAUUGCUUCUCGACACCUCAAUCCCUAGAAAAUAUUUUAGGGAUCCAAGGUCUUUCAUCUCAAAUUCUGUAGACAAGUAUCCUUGCAAGGCCGCACGUUCUUCUGGAUCAUUCCCUGUUACAACCAUAUCAUCUACAUACACAAUGAGUGCAGUAAGCUUCCCAUUUCAUCUUUUCAAAAACAGAGUAUGAUCGGAAUUACUUUUUGUGUAACCAAAUGCUCUCAUAGAUUUUGUGAAUGUUCCAAACCAUGCUCGAGGGAACUGCUUCAAACCAUACAAGGAUUUUUUCAACCUGCAUACCUUUCUUUUGUAUUUAUCAGGAGCACUACAUCCUGGUGGAAGAUCCAUCUAAAUUUCUUCUGUCAAAUCUCCAUGCAAGAAUGCAUUCUUCACAUCAAACUGUUGUAAGGUCCAAUUAAGAUUUGCAGCCAAGGACAACAAAAUAUGAACUGUGUUGAUCUUGGCCACAUAGGCAAAUGUAUCUGUAUAAUCGAUUCCAUAUUUUUUAGUGUGCCCUUUUGCUACCAGUCUUACCUUGAAACGAUCCACUGUCCCAUCAGCUUUGUACUUGACAGUAUAGACCCAUUUGCAUCCCACAGGUUUCUUGCUAGCUAGCAAGUCCAUGAUCUCCUGCACACUGUUAGGAAUAGAUACAGUAGAUAAUUGAAACACAAAUGACUUAUUUGAUUCUGAUAAGUGGCUGGUAGACACAUAAUUACCUAACGGGUAUAACACAUUAGAUUCUUGGUUGGGUCUAUUCACCGGGUACCUAGUUUUGCAUUUAGGGUCAACUUCGUAAGUAAGUUUAGGAAUACCUCGGUUGACACGGUUAGGGAGACAAUGUCGUGGUGGAGCAUCCGGGAUCGAAGACGAUUGAUCAUGGUUAUUGGGCCUCAAGGGUGGUGAGACCAACUGUGAGGUAGUUGGCGACAAUGAGUUGUCUAAUGGUGAGGAGGUUGGCAGUGAGUUGUCCAACGGUGAGGAAGGCAAUGAAUUUUCUGGCGGUGUCGGCUCAUCAACAUUGCUUUCAUGUGAAUGAUCACCACUUAACUCCAGGGCAUUACCACUUAAUUCCAAGUCAUUCACAUUAUUACUUUCUUGUGAAUCAUCACCACUUGUUUCCAAUACAUCACCACUUAAAUCCAAAUGAUUCACAUCAUUAUGUUUUUGUGAAUCAUCACCACUUGUUUCCAAUACAUCACCACUUAAACCCAAAUGAUUCACAUAAGGAAUAGUAUAAUCAAGAGUUUGAACUUCUGUCUGAUUCUCCCCCUGAAGUGCAGACUCUGAAUGGGCAAAGUACAUAUCGUUUUCAUGAAAUGCAACAUCCACAGUGACAAACAACUUUUUCGUCAGAGGAUGAUAGCAGCGAUAUACUUUUUUAUUAGAGGCAUACCCCAUAAACACACAACAUAAGGCUCGAGGUUCAAGCUUACUCCUAUGCUGUUUAUGGAGAUGAAUGAAAGCCACACAACCAAAAACGUGAGGUGGAAGAUUUGGAACUGCAUGAGCAUCAACAUGUGAGGAGAGAGCCUAAAGAGGUGUCUGAAAAUCAACUAAUCGGGAUGGAACGUGAUUAAUGAGAUACGCAGCCGAGGUGAGAGCUUCUCGCCAAUAGGAUAACGAGAGAUGCCCCUCGAGUAAGGAAGCAUGAACAACCUCCAGAAGGUGACGAUUCUUGCGCUCUGCAACCCCAUUUUGUUGUGAAGUGUAUGGACAUGUAGUUUGAUGAACAAUACCAUGAUGAUCCAGAAAGGCACGAAGUUCAGAGUUCAUAUACUCGCCACCAUUAUCACUCAUGAGAACCUGUAUUUGUGACUUAUACUGUACUUGAUCCAUUUUAUGAAAUUGCUAGAACAAGGAAGUAACUUCACUUUUUGACUUCAUCAAACAAACCCAAGUCAGACGUGUGCAAUCAUCAACAAAAGUAACGAACCAAUAAGCACCACCAAAUGUAGCAAUUUUAGAUUGUCCCCAAACAUCAGAAUGGAUUAUCAUAAAUGGAACAGAACUUUUUGUCAAACUGGACGGAAACGAAGUACGAUGACUUUUAGCUAGUUCACAAACACCACAUUUAAAGCUAGAAACGUCAUUCUUAACAAAUAGGCUAGGAAACAACCUCUGUAAAUAACCGAAAGAAGCAUGUCCAAGUCGACGAUGCCACAACCAAACCUUCGAAGCUUUAUUCCACUCCCCCUGAGAUCCUUCCACAGUAAGAGCUUGAGUCAACAGUUGGGUACUAUUUAAUGUCAGCUCCAAGUAGUAAAGCCUCCCUUUUCUGAUACCAUAACCAAUCGUCUUGCGAGUCCGAAUAUCCUUAAAAACACAAAAAGAAGGCCAAAAAAUAACAAGACAAUGUAGGGCGACGGUUAUUUGAGCAACAGAUAAUAAAUUAUAAUCAAGAGAAGAAACAACAAGGACGAUAUCAAGAUUAAGGGUAUCUGUAAGGGAGACAUCGUCUUCCCCAAUAAUAGGGGCAGGGUUACCAUUGGCAACACUUACAACAGUUUUGGUGGAUGGUUUUAGGGUUUGUACCUGUCUAGAAUCACAAGUCAUAUGUUCAGUGCACCGGAAUCAAUUAUCCAUGUAUUAUUCGUAACAGAUGCAGAAACCUUUAAAACUUUACCAUCGUUGUUUGUGUGUUCAGAAGCUACCUUAGCUUUGGCAAUCAAUGCACACGACUCAUUACAGCGGGAUGACGAGUCCAGUAUGUCAUUUCUCCGCAUGAGUUGAGUGGAACGUCUGAGGUGAUUGAUAGGGCCAAGAUUCCAAACCAACUAGGUCAACAAUGCGAGACCCUUAGAAAAAAAACAAACACUAACACAAAAAAGGACAAACUAUUUUUUAUUCCUUUUUUUUUCUUUUUUCCUUUUUUUCUUUUUUUCUUUUUUCUUUCUUCUUUUUCUUCUUUUUCUUUUUUUCUUUUUUCUUUUUUGCUUUUUCUUUUUUUCUUUUUUUCUUUUUUUCCUUUUCUUUUGUCCUUUUUUCCUUUCCUUACGCCUGGGGACUUCCUUCAACACACGGUAAAGCAAAAAAUAAAUGCAGAUAAGACCAAAUCACAUUUCCUUACACCUGGGGACUUCCUUCAACACACGGCAAAGCAAAAAAUAAAUGCAGAUAAGACCAAAUUAGUUUCGCAGAACACGAGUCAGUUUCUGGUGCAUACAAAAUUGCAGACAGAGGUCGUAGUUGUCAACCGGGAUUUGCAACGGCAAGGUUUCUAGAUUAGGAUCUCAGUUCGUGGGUAUGCGAUGCAGCAACGAACAGUAGUAGGUGAUUGCAGGGAUCGGCUUAGUGAACUUGGGUCAGCAACGACAGCGUCGCUCACUGGUCUGGAUGGAUGCAGGGGUCAGCUCGGUGAACUCGGAUCAGCAACGACGGCGUCGCUCGCUAGUGUGAUCGUGCGCUGCACAACUGGCUGCACAACCGAUGGUUCUUGGUUCUGCGCACAGCGAGCAACUUUUUUCCUUUUUUCUAACCUAGGCUCUGCCACAAAGAAGGGAAUGCUCUUUUGAAAUAAUUGUGUAUUUUAUUCAUCUCUCAAUGAGGGAUUUAUAAGAUGUUACAAUUCUAUCAAUAAGAAAAGAAAUAAUUUACAUAAAAUUAUAUUAAACUAAAAAUCCCAAGAUUACAGGAAUAUACACAAAAAGUCAACAUGCUCUGAUCAAGGGCAUUCUCCUUCCCUCGUUUGCUAGUUGAAUCAACACAAAUUGCCUGCCAAAACUUGAGACCAUAAACCCUCUUAAACAUAACUAAAAAUCAAACCAACAACAGUAUCAAUAUGCAUUCACAAAUCAAAUACUAUAAUCAACCGCACCUCCAUCUCUGCUGCCAAAAUCAACCUCUUGAGUCUUAAUAUUCCCAGGCCAUUCCUUGACUUUAUGAUGCUUUCUGACUACCUUGGCAUUGACAUCCUUAUGUAAGCAAACACAUGUUGCCCUUAGAUGAUAUAGUCCUGAAAUUUAGUUGAAUUAAAUAAUUAAAAACUGAUUGAUUGAUUAAUUAAACACACAGAAAAUAAUUGAAGAGAAACUUUUAGAGAGUCUGAAUCUUGGCUAUGGAAUGAAAAUGGUGCUAUCAUUUAGUUUAUGGAGAGUUUUAUAUUACUUCUGACAUCAUCAAUCUUGUGGAUAACUUUUUAAUAAGGGUAAAAGACUGUUUACUACCCUCAUGUUUCAUGGUUUUCAACAUUUAGUACAUCAAGUUUUUUUCGUCUCAGAAUCAUACCUAAAGUGUAAAUUUUGGGACAGUCUCAUACACCCGUUAGUCAAACUGUUAAAUCUGCCGUUAAUUGUGACGUGGCGCCCAUGUGGACAAUGACUGGGUGCCACGUGUCAGCCACAUUUUUUUUCUUUUCUUUUUUCUUCUUUCUUCUUUCUUCUUCUUCUUCAUCCGAUUGCAACUUUUUUUUUCUUCCUCCUUCUCCUUCUUCCUUCUUCCUUCUUCCUUCUUCCUUCCCCUUCUUCUCCUUCCUUCUUCUUCCUUCUUCCUUUCCCUUCUUCUCCUUCCUUCUUCCUUCUUCCUUCUCCUUCUCCUUCCUCCGAAUCUGGGGAAGUUUUUUUUUUUUUUUUCUUCUUCCUCCUUCUUCCUCCUUCCUCCUUCUUCCUUCUUCCUUCUCCUUCCUCCUUCUUCCUUCUUCCUUCUUCUUCCUCCGAAUCUGCCCAAAUUCGGUUUUUUUUUUCUCCUUCUUCCUCUUUUUUUCUCAUUCCUCCUCCUUCCUUCCUCUUCUUCUUCUUCUUCCUCCGAAUCUGCCCAGAUUUGGCUUCUUUUUUUCUUCUUUUUUCUUUUUUCUUCUUCUUCUUCUUCUUCCACCGACUGCAACUUUUUUUCCUUCUUUCUUCUUCUUCCUCCUCCUUCCUCCUUCUUCUUCCUUCUUCUUCUCCUUCUUCCUUCCUCCUUCUUCCUUCCCCUUCUUCUCCUUCUUCCUUCUUCCUUCUUCCUUCUUCUUCAUCUUCCUCAAAAAAAAAAAAAAAAACCUUCAUCUUCCCCAGAUUCGAAGGAAGAAGAAGGAAGAAGAAGGAAGAAGGAGGAAGGAGGAAGCAAGAAGGAGAAGAAGAAGGAAGAAAAAAAAAAAAAAAACCGAAUCUGGGUAGAUUCAGAGGAAGAAGAAGAAGAAGAGGAAAGAAGAAGAAGGAAGGAGGAGGAAGAAGGAAAAAAAAAAAAAAAACUUCCCCAGAUUCGGAGGAAAAAGAAGGAGAAGGAAGAAGAAGGAAGAAUGAGAAGAAGGGGAAGGAAGAAGGAGGAAGGAAGAAGGAGAAGGAGGAAGAAAAAAAAAGUUGCAGUCGGAGGAAGAAGAAGAAGAAAGAAGAAAGAAGAAAGAAGAACAAAGAAAAAAAAACGUGGCUGACACGUGGCGCCCAGUCAUUGUCCACAUGGGCGACACGUCACAAUUAACGGCAUAUUUAAUAGUUUGACUAACGGAUGUAUGAGACUGUCCCAAAAUUUACACUUUAGGUAUGACUCUAAGACGAAAAAAACUUGAUGUACUAAAUGUUGAAAACCACGAAACAUGAAGGUAGCAAACAGUCUUUUACCCUUUUAAUAAUUUAAACGAAAGUGUAUUCAGUAUCGGGAAUUGAGUAAAGAUAAUAUGUUCAUUGAACCAAACAUUACUAAAAUGAUACGUUCCUCACUUUGACUUGAGAUCUCAAAUGAUGACUUGGUCAUCUAUCUUGAUGCAAGGAAUGUGAGCUAUCGUCAUCCACUCUUCUCCCGUCUUCUCCUGACACCUCUUCUCCAGGGAAGAACAAUUUUUUAUUUCCAAUAAAGAAAGAGAUGCCGGAAGACCCUCUUUUGGCUGGAAUUCGAGACUAUCACAGUGGUGAAUACGGAGUUCUCGAAGACAAGUGAGGUGUUGAAGUCCCUUUCCCUCCAAAGAUUUUAGACUUUUCAUUUUAGAGAUUUGGAGACUUUUCAUGUCCCUCGACCUGAAGCCAGGGAUUAUUUCUCCCGGCCCACAUGCGAGCACCAUAAACCUCGCUGUUGCGGAAUAGUGACCACUAGAUAAGCACAAAACCAUUGAACAUAGUAUUUCCAAACAUAGGUACAUAUAUCUCAAAAACAUCUUCAUAGUAUAAGGUCAUCUAUCAUCUAUACUAUAAAGAAGUGGGUAAACACAUGUUCUAAAUAGUAUAUCGUCAUCCAUCAAAUACCCUACAAGAACAUGGGUUCGAUAGAAAAAUAUGGUAUUCCAAAAUAUUAGCAGUAAGCAUAAUAUCUCAUAAAACGUAAUCAUUAAAUCGUGCUUUUUAUGUAUGCAUUUUUACUAUUAAACAUGCAUUUUAGAAGGGGUCCACUCACAGAUACUCCGUCAAAGAUGAGCCGUACGAAAUAGGAAUGACGGAAUCGCCACUAUUAAUUGCACCUAAGCACAUAAAGGGUACAAUUAACAAAAUUAUACUCAAACGAUUGAAUUUGAGAAAAUAGAUAUCAUAAACGGGUCCAUGACGUCGAAAUUAGCCUAUGAAGGGUCCCGGACGAAACCUAAAAAAGUCAACCCGAAAAAUUAACUUUGAUGGUCAAAGUCAAAGUAAUCGGUCAACAUUAACCUGGUCAAUGGUCAGACCGGGUUUGAGUCAACAGGUCAAACCGGGUCACGGGCCAGAUCAAGGGUUUUGGUUGGGCUUAAAGGGUUUGGGUCCGAUGGGUUUUAGGGUUAGUGGACCGGAUCCAUGGCCCAAAGGCCUGUAUCCAAUAGGGUUUUGGGUCUGGCUUUGACAGGCUGGGCUCAAGUUCUACGAGCCAAAGGCCCAAGUUCCAUGCGACCCAAAGGCCUUAGGUCUUAGGGUUUUAAAAGGGUUUCACCGGGUUGGGCUUAGAAGCAAUGGCCCGAAGGCCCCAUAUCUACACGGCCCUAAGGACCGGUUUUAGGAAAUAAAUAUAAAAAAAAGGUUGGGCUUAAGGGUCACGAAGGCCUAGUCUAUUUGAUUUGGCUUGAAGGCCCUUUCUUUGUCGAGGAAGAAGGCCGGAGCCUUCCAAGCUCCGGUUAACGUCAUUUCACCGAUCUACCCUCUGAUCUACUUACGAACAUGAAGAUACAAGAACGGGGAAGAUGGACGGGGUGGCCGGGAUCUCGUGCAAAAGGCACGGGGCUCGUCAGAGAGAUUUGGGUGCCUUUAGGUGUCUCGGAGCUUGCAGAGACGAGGGGGAGUGAGAAAGAGUACACGGAGAUGGUAGUGGCGGUGCGUCGACGUCAAGGUGGAGGUGUAGGUGUGCGUGGGUGUGAUCGGGAAAUGAGGUGAGAAGGGGAGUUUCGAGAGAGAGUGAGAGUUAAGAGCUGAGAGUGAGAGAUCCGAGAGAGACUUGGGGAAAAAAAAAGGUAAGGUGAGUUCGUGGCCCGCCACGUGGCAGCGUGGGGGAGAAAGAAAAUCUAGAUAAAGGGUCCAAAUUCAAUUAGGAUAAGGGACCUUAUUGCACAUUUCAAUAACUUUUAGGGGAAAUGUGGGAUUACAAAGAAAUUUUGGGGAGGGGUUUUACAAAUCUUCCUUUCAUAUAUGACAAAUGCCGAACUCGUUUAGGAUCAUGUGGCUCUCCUUCAUCCAACCUAAAACAAAAUUCUCCAGACACAAACAUAGCCAAGUUAUUAAUGAGAUCAUGCAUUGUGAAACUUGAUUUCCCAAUUAAUGAUCUUUGAAGUAGUGAUCGUGACAAUAGUUCAUCAAAGUAUCUCUUGCCGACCUCUUCCAAUCCUUUACCACUCUCAGCUUGUGGAAUUAAACCCAGUGCCAUCCAAAGUUGAAUUAUAUUUUCCUUUUCAAAUUCAUAGUCCUUUGGGAAAAUUGAGAAAUAAGCAAAGCAUUGUUUCAAAUAAGUAGGGAGAUAAAGGUAACUCAUUCUUAAUGAUGGAAGAACACGUUUAUCAUGCAAUAUCUCCCAAAGAUUGUUGUUCAAUAUGUGACUCCAUUCCUUGUAAUCCACAUUACAACCUAAGAGACCCCGAAGUGCUUUUGCAGCUAAAGGAAGACCAUUGCACUUGCGUGCAAUUUGCUUACCAAUUUCUUCCAAGUCUGGAUACGCACUAGGAUUUUCAUUUCUAAAUGCAUGUUUUGCAAUUAACAACCAACAAUCUUCAUCUGACAAAUGUUUCAAGUAGUGAAUAGGCGCGGUGUGCACUAGGGAUGCAACACUUUUGUUUCUUAUUGUUACAAUGACCUUACUUCCCCUCACCCCAUAAGUAAAAGGAUCCCGUACAAGAUCCCAAUCAAUAUAGUUGUCAUUCUAAAGGUCGUCAACCACAAAUAGGAACUUUUCCCCCUCGCUUGUUCCCUUAGUUCAACUUGAACAAGAUAUCUUGAAGACUGCAAGGUUUUGAGCUAAUUGAUUCAAUAAGGGUUUUAGUUACCCUCAUAGCAUCAAAAUCUUCGGAAACACAUGCCCAAGCAGUAACAUCAAAAUGCUCUUUUAUUUUUUCAUCAUUGUAAAGGACCUGAGCAAGGGUUGUAUUACUAAUCCCCCGCCCAUUCCCACUAUGGGGAUUACUGAUACGUGGCUGCUACUCGCAUAAUCAGAUAGCAACGUUGUUUUCAACUUGUCCUUAUCUCCAUCCCUACCACAAGGAUGAAAUUCAUGCUCAACCAAGAAUGUUGUGGGAGUUCUUUAAGAAAUUUUCCCCUUAAGACCUCAUAUAAGACCAAGGAGAUUAAUUUGUUUUGCGAGGUGUUCUAACCUUUGGAAUAACUCUUGUAUCCUACCAUUCAUGCCUUGAUAAAAAGGAUUAAGAGAGGUAGAUAGGAAGUUCCACACCUGGGUUUUCUUAGUUUGAUAUUCAG
RNAcentral lists this long non-coding RNA (37694 nucleotides) under Malus domestica (apple). RNAcentral's name for it is "long non-coding RNA (MDOM_LNC006481)". Lineage: Eukaryota; Viridiplantae; Streptophyta; Magnoliopsida; Rosales; Rosaceae. The record is from RNAcentral.